CAAAAACAUCUUUUCUUGUUAGUUUUUGAAGUAUGGCCUGCCCGCUGACGUUCGGAGUUGAAGGGCCGCGGUAUUUUGACCGUGCAAAGGUAGCAUAGUCAUUAGUUCUUUAAUUGUGAUCUGGUAUGAAUGGCUUGACGAGACAUGGGCUGUCUUGAGUGUGAAUUUAUUGUUGAAUUUGGAGUUUGAGUUAAAAUUCUUAGAUGUUUUUAUGGGACGAGAAGACCCUAUAGAGUUUGACAUUUGAUUGCGUAUUUCUUAUUGUUUGUUUUGAAUUAUUUGCGUUUCUUUUGUUUUGUUGGGGUGAUGGGAGGAAUUUAUUUAACUCCUCUUUUACGUGGUAUAUUGAUUUAUAUUUGUUUUGAUCCAUUUAUUUUGAUUAUAAGAUUAAAUUACCUUAGGGAUAACAGCGUUAUCUUCCCUGAGAGUUCUUAUUGGCGGGGGGGUUUGCGACCUCGAUGUUGGAUUAAGGUUGAUUUUUGGUGUAGGAGCUGAAUUGAUUAGGUCUGUUCGACCUUUAAAAUCUUAC
Molecule: ribosomal RNA, 529 nt
Filed under: Odontotermes paraoblongatus
Lineage: Eukaryota; Metazoa; Arthropoda; Insecta; Blattodea; Termitidae
Description: partial 16S ribosomal RNA
Rfam family: Bacterial large subunit ribosomal RNA
Source: RNAcentral